UAGAAGUAGAGGAGCGAUAAGCAUCAGUAUUCCGACUAUAUGGGGCAGCCGGCCCGUCUUUCGGAAAAAAGGGUAUUAUCGCCGAAGCGGCGUCUUGGCAAACCGUCGUUGGGCAGUAAGGUUAAAACCUGCUGACUGUCAUCUUUAGAUGAAGGGCUACUCGG
This 164-nucleotide non-coding RNA is filed under the name chicken gut metagenome. RNAcentral's name for it is "Lysine riboswitch". It matches the Rfam family "Lysine riboswitch aptamer". Rfam says of the family: Riboswitches are metabolite binding domains within certain messenger RNAs that serve as precision sensors for their corresponding targets. Allosteric rearrangement of mRNA structure is mediated by ligand binding, and this results in modulation of gene expression. The record is from RNAcentral.